This 385-nucleotide long non-coding RNA is filed under the name Musa acuminata (dwarf banana). Its description in RNAcentral is "long non-coding RNA (MACU_LNC006854)". Lineage: Eukaryota; Viridiplantae; Streptophyta; Magnoliopsida; Zingiberales; Musaceae. The record is from RNAcentral.
ACUAACCUAACUCUGGCAAUUCGACCGUUAUAAGUAAGGCAACUUGAGCAGGGCUCUAAUCUACCUCUGUGAACACCACUUAUUGGUGCAUUUCUACUAGUUGUUUGGUUAGGAGUUACUUGCCUGAUAGCAAUAUAGAUAAUCUCUUCUCUUCUCUCGGCACUGCUCUAACUGCUGACCUUGCCCACCGAUUGCCCGAAGCCAGUUAUUAAAGUAUAGUGAUUGCCCCAACAGGUAGUGGAGUAGUCGCGCCCAGAAUCAAUACUAGUAGUAGAGUAGUUAGCUCUUUGAACUGUAGUAGCUUGGCCUCCGCUAUUACCAGUCUAUCCGGUCUUCUUCUCUGAUAACUACUAUACUAUAUAACUAUUUGGUCUUAACUCCGAGU